RNAcentral lists this ribosomal RNA (254 nucleotides) under uncultured bacterium. RNAcentral's name for it is "partial 16S ribosomal RNA". It matches the Rfam family "Bacterial small subunit ribosomal RNA", at positions 524 to 776 of the family's 1533-position model. The record is from RNAcentral.
UACGUAGGGUGCGAGCGUUAAUCGGAAUUACUGGGCGUAAAGCGUGCGCAGGCGGUUAUUUAAGUCAGGUGUGAGAGCCCUGGGCUUAACCUAGGAAUUGCGCUUGAGACUGGAUAGCUUGGAGUGCGGCAGAGGGAGGUGGAAUUCCACGUGUAGCAGUGAAAUGCGUAGAGAUGUGGAGGAACACCGAUGGCGAAGGCAGCCUCCUGGGCCAGCACUGACGCUCAUGCACGAAAGCGUGGGGAGCAAACAGG